RNAcentral lists this transfer RNA (76 nucleotides) under Candidatus Saccharimonadota bacterium. RNAcentral describes it as "tRNA-Pro". It matches the Rfam family "tRNA". From Rfam's summary of the family: Transfer RNA (tRNA) molecules are approximately 80 nucleotides in length. Lineage: Bacteria; Candidatus Saccharimonadota. The record is from RNAcentral.
CGGGGUUUGGCGCAGUUGGUAGCGCGCACGGCUGGGGGUCGUGAGGCCAUCGGUUCAAAUCCGAUAACCCCGACCA